UUUUCCGGUGUUUACAAAUUCCACCAAAGCUGUUUGUGGCACAAAAUGGGUAUCCUCUUUAUGCACCGUGAAACAUAGGUUCAGUUGUUCGAUUUCAUAGCGCAUUUGGACGAACAAAGAAACAUCGUCAUCACCACAAACAUCUACCGACGGUGCAUCUUUGCCAUCAUCCAUGAGCAUAUACGAGGGCAACUGGAAUGUCAGAGCUACCCCUGCAUCUUCACUUAACUGGUACUUCUCUCUCACGAUUUUCAAAACCUCCUUAUAUGUCAUCCUAGAAGUUAAGAAAGCACCUUGGCUGUGAUCUGUUUUGUCUGUCAUGAAAGCCCAAACACCCGGAGUAUCUUCAAACCAUCUACCCUUGACAAGCAGAAAGAUUUGUUUUCCAACCAUCUGUAUGAGAAAUUACAAAGUUAGACACAUAUAACUUCUUUGACUACAAUAGAAAAAUCCUUGAAGGUAGCUGGAAUUAUAACGUUCAAAAUUUGUAAAUAGAAAUUAUCAAAUUGGCUUAUCUUUAAUAACAGAAAAAUCGAAUGAUAUUUGAGUACUAAACCGAAAAUUUGUUGCUCUGGAAGUACUAAAUUGAUAUAAGACUCGGUGAGAGGCUUAUAUGAUUGGGGAUCAAUGGCUUGGGGGGAUCAACACGCUGGCUUUCACGCUCUCUCGUGGGGAUCAGUGGAUGGAGAUUGUAAGACAAGUCUCAUUUACACAAGGCUUGAAUCGAUACGGGAUCUGUCAAGCUGGCUUUAUCGCUCUCUCUUGAGAGAUCAAAGAAUGGUUGUGAAGUGGAUCGAAGGCACCACAGAGAUUAUUUUGGGAUCUCUGAUACUGCAAACUUGCCCCUUGGUGAAUCAAACAUGCAAGAACACAAGCAAAGUCUCUCAAGCACAAGCUAAGAGGAAAAACGGCGUUAUUUUAUUGAUAAGGUGAAAAAAAGGUGAGUACAACAGCUGCGUGUGGGACUUUAUAAAUAUUCCAUCAGCUUUGAACCUUCUAGGGUUUGACACUUAACAAGAAAAACGACACUAAAGACUAAAAAAAACAGGACUUGUGAAAGAAAUAAAACAAAAAUGGCAAAGCGUCUCAUUUGGACACAAAAAUGGAAAGUUCACUUAAAAAUAAAAAAGAAAAGAACUAGCUAUGCGCAACCUUUUCUGGACUUGUUCCGUGGACCUCUGAUGCUCUCUAGUGUGUUAGACACCAUUAGGAUACUUCCAUGUUACCUGCAAAGAUCGUAUAAACUGAAAAUACUUGAUUAAGGGCGAUUGUGGACUUGCUUGUUGUGUGGUUGAUUAAGUCGCGUUCUGGCCCAUGUUGCUCGUUAGUCUUGAUGUUUCCUUCGUCUAGAGUCCUGCUAACGUCGUGUCAUAUGAGUUCUUCAAGUAUCUUCUCGUGUCCUGCUUCAUGUCCUUCUUCUUGUCUCAUUUGCCUGCUAUCGGCUUCGUGUCUUGAAACGGUUGUAUCUUGCAGGUCCGAGGCAGUCUCUUCGGAAUUCUUGGUGUUCCGUGCUCCAUUUCCUGCCAAGUAAACAUGUAUACCUUGUUCUAGUUGAGGCUUGCUCUCUUUGAGCCUCAAACGCGCGAAGCCCUCCAUUAUGCUAAAUCGGGUCCUUUGGGGCUGUCUUGCGUGUAAUGCUCUUGAGAAACGGUUUUGAAUGCACCUUCAAGCUCCAUGGUGCUUAGUAAUGAUUCUAUGGCCAAAUUGAACCCUUCUCUAAACCUCCUAGCUUUGGAACGGAUCAUUGGUGCUUUGAGCUUGGGAACGAUCGUUUGAUUUGGUGUUGGUUCGAUGACCUAAUCAUAAAUGGAUCAAAAUAAAUUUUUAAACAAAAGGUAUGAAGUGAAUGAGUUUAGUAAAUAGUUUUCAAGAGUGUUUACACAAGAAAAAGAACAAAGAAUUGCUAAGUAUUUAUAGUAGAGCAAGUUGCAGUUGAAAUUCAUUUUUUAACUUCAUUGCCCUUAUUUUUGCUUUAUAAUCCGAGUUCGUGUUUAAUGUUGUCAUUUACUCCGCUUGCUUUGCAAUGAAAAGUCUCUAAUUUGAAGGUAUGACUAUUACGUUCAGGUGCCUUAAAUCACUUGUUCAAACGAAUCUUUGGACAUGGCAGGGUUGAUUUGACAGAUUUGGAUUUAUUCUUCUUUUAAGUCUAAACUCACUCCACCGUGUCUUUCAGCUCAGCUCUCUAGUGCAUUUAUGUAUUUCACUUCUUCGACCUUUUUACUUUUUUACCAUUUGUAUACUGGAUCUGUUUUACUGGGCUGAGAUUUUCACUUCCCUCCCAAUUCCUUCCAUUCAUUAGAGGUUAAACCCCUUUUAAAGGAAUUUCACUCCGUAAUCAUCUUCUACAAGUGAAUAUAUUGUCUUGACGAUUCACUUCUCUUACUUGCUCUCUUCCUUUGACCUUUUUUCGUUCAUUUACUUUGCUGAUGGACUCCCAGAUUUGUUCAGUUUUUUUCUUCUAUAUUUGGGCUGACUCCACCUUUAAACCGACUGAUGAGGACCUUGAUGCAUCUCGUCAGAAGUGUAAUAGAUGAAAUAUAAAUUGAUUCCCUGUACUGGGGAAUUUCUAGAGAAUAAUCUGCCAGGCUUCUGCAUCGCCUAAGAAAUGUACUUUACCACCUGAGGACUCUGAUUUCCUAUCUCAGAUAUCCCGGUUUGAUAUCUAGUCACUUCUCCUUGCUAAGUGUUGUUGCACAAUUCUUCCUCCUUUGGUGUAAACUACUACUUCCCCAGACUUAUAUUUUUUUCAGGAAUCGAUAGUUGAUAUUUCGGACUAAAAAUAAUCAAAGCAAGGAUUGCCCCAUAGACAAAAUCAAACCACUUAGACUCAAUAAGGUUUUUGUUUCUUUUCCCUUCUGAUUUUCUUUUUUUUAACAUUUUUUUUAAAGGAGAAACACCUUUUUGUUGAGAGAAAGUCUUAAGGGGCACGAAAAUAUACCAUGUUUUUGAAUUUUUUCUGAGGCAACCAAGUUUUCUUCCUUAUUGAAUCAAUCCCAUAAAUCGCAAAGUCUCCAUCUUCAGUGAUUGAAAACUGCGUCGUUCCUCUUUCUCUCCGGCGUUUUUGCACAUAUCUGCAUAUAAGACAACAAAAACAAGAAUGCAUGUGGUUUCAAAGAGGUAGGGUAAGGUGGAGAACUAGCUAAAGAUGAAUUAGUCAUUAGGAUCAACAAACAGUGGUAAAAAGAAUAAGAAGUUCUGAAUGUAUGAUCAUUCGUUUCCAUGAUCUUAUGUCUUCAAUGAGAAAAUGAAGUCAAUGUUUAGUCCAAAUAAAAUACAGAGUGUUUUUUUCCUCUAAAUCUAAGCAAUUGAAAUUCCUCUGGGGUACUUUACGUCAAAUGUGCCUGGUUACCGCCUAGUCUAAUCCUAAAUCACGAAUGAGCAUGUCAUUAGGGAAUAGCCUAAAAGCACACAAUCAACUAUCAUUGAUUCAUGUUCAUCAUUAUCUUAAAAACGUAUGUUGAUUUGAAAACAUUUUUUUAAUUGUUUAAAAUAAAACAAGAAAGAUGUGAAUAAUGUAAGACUCAUGAAGAAAGGUGGUUCGUAAGAGAUGAAAUCCUCCUCUACACUUAAAUCACACUGUCCCCAGUGUGAAAUAAAUUGAGUAAAUAGAGUAUGAAUGUAUGGAAAAGAUAAGAAAAAUAAAACUUACAUGGAUGCUCUAGGAAUGAUGCAGAGGAUGGUGAUGAUAUGAAUGUGUUGUGGUUGAUAGUGAUUGUAUGGUCAUAUGAUGGAUUGUGAAGGAGAUGAACAUCGAACCGGGAUGAAAAAGGAUGACACGGAUCGAGCAUGCAUUGAGCGCGGCCGGGCGAGUGGCGCUAGCGGUGCAUCAUGCUUCGGCCGUAGUCCAAAACACGAGACCAUAGUUGAUUCAUCUUGUACCACAUUCGGAUUGGGGGCCCCCACGGUGAAGAGGUCAGGUGUGAGAUAAGGCAGGCUGAUUGGAUUGGGCGAGAUGGGUGGCGAGUGAGGGUUGUGUCUCGACGGGUGGGAAAUGGUGGUUGAGUCAAGUUGGCGUGGUGGGUCAUGGCGAGAUGGGGGAUGAGUGAGGCAAGUUGGCGAUCGAGUCGAUGGGCGAGGUGAUGAUGGGCGGGUCGAGGCGGGAUGAAUGGGCAGGUCAAGGGGAGCGGCUUGGCGAGUUGGUGAGCGGCUUGGGCUCGAUAAUGAAGCUUACAAGGGUUUAAAAGGAAAGAGAAAGAGCUUGAGACAGCCAAGACUUGUCUUGAAAAUGAUCAAGCAAUAAAGACAAAUUUUGAACAAAGAAAGAACAAAAAACAAAACUUCUACACCCUUGACCGAGACUUCUUCUUGCUGGGCCUUGAUGGAUCAACAAAUGGGUGAUAUGAUGUGAUCCAUUUGCCUCAUUGAAAACCUCCUUUUGAAAAAGCCAUUCAAACAAAACCAAAAGAGAGGUAAAAAGAAUACAAAUGGAUCACAUGCCCAUUUUUCUAUUAUCUUGAGCCUAUAUAGAAACCAAUGAGGCUUGUAUAACAUCUUCUCCCUCCUUGCUCAAGAUAUCAUUUUGUCUCCAGAUGUGUUUAAGCAUAGGUCCGAGUGCUUCCUUGAAUUGCUUGGACUUAGAUCUGGUCAUUGGUCCAACUGGUAUAACUAGAGCAUCCGGUGCAACUGGUAUAACUAAUGCUUCAUCCUCUUCAGGCUCUUCUUGAUCAGCAAACUCAUCAUCUUCAGGCUCUUCUUGAGCACUUUUGUUUAAAGUCGUUUAGCUCGAUAUUGUUUCUGAGGUGAUCUUAGUCUUUCAAAGACAAUGUCUUGUGACAAGUCCUCUUUGCUUCUCUUUGUUCCUCCUUAUUUGGUUCUCCAUUACUCCAUUCCAAAACGGAUUUAGGAUUCUUUGGCUUGAAGUAUCUUUCUCUCAUAAUCUUGUACGAGACAGCGGUCUAGAAUUGAUGGGCCUCAGGAUCGCAGGUCUUUUGCAAUCCCAUUGAUCUGGAGUUUUAAAUUUAUAAAACCCUAAUGUCUAAAAGUGCACAAAUGUACGUUUUACGACAUAGGAUGUCAAUCCACAGGAAAAAUGUAUAAUCUGCAAGGAAACACCAAACUGGGAUAGUAAGCGAAGUCAUAAACUCAUGGGGCUUUGGGGUUUAGUACACGUCCUUGAUACCAAGACGUUUUGCAAUGGUUUUGGUAAUGAUGUUAAGACAAGUUCCAGAGUCACUAAGGACAUUAACGAGUUGAACUCCUCGAAUUCCACAAGUAAUGAAGAAUUGGCCUUGCUCUUGGAUCUUUUGGAGAUUACGAACUGGCUUUCUUUUCCUUGCUUGAGUGAAAAGAUCUUCUAUCUUUGUGGUGGACUCCUUGCUUUCACAGAAAAAUGACCAAUCAUAUAAUCCAUGCAAGCUUUAUAGAACGAGAUACCUUGAGGGAGAUCACAGACCACUCGGUUGAAUUUUCUAGCUUCUCAUUGCUGAUCUUGUUUGGAAGCCUUUGAUACUAAUUUGUUCGAAAGAGUCCGAUUGCACACGAAGUACCUUGAUGGCGAGUAUACUGCAUGGUCAAUCUUCUUGCUCUCAUGAAGUAGGUGUAGAUUUUUUCUUCUUGGUUCUCCUUACUGUUCCGAAAGAAAGGAUGUAUGGCUCCUUGCUUCCACACGUCCAUAAAGGGGAUGUAUAUCGGAAUGGUCUUUACUAAGUUUUUGAACUCAACUAACAUCUCUCGGGAGAUGUUCUACGUCUUGGGUUUCUCAAAAAUCUCAUUAUUUCUUCCGUACAAACUAGUAAGAGACUUAGGUGAAGGAGGAUCUUCGUGGACCUUAUACAUUGAAGUGAAGUCUGAUUCUCGAAACAUCAAGGUCGGUUCAUCCUCUUCUUCUCCAUCAGAAUACUGUUCUUUUACUUCAAAUCCUCUGAAACGAACCAUGUUGCAAUGUGCAUAGAUAGAUGGUUCAUCUUGAUCAUGAGAUACUUGGGUGCUGAUGGAGUAGAUAGCUUGCUCGAAGAGACGAGUUCUGGUAGCUACGGGGGAGACUUCAGAUGAGCAACAGGCUGUUUGAGCUGAAGGAGACGGAUCAGGUACGAACCAAGGUUUGACCACGGUUGGAGGAGCUGUGAGCAUGGUGAAGUGGCUUGGGCGGCAGUCGCAGUAGACACGACCGUGGUGAAUGGCUCAUUAGCCGCAGUUAGAGAAAGUGCGACCGCGGCCGGCUGUGUCCGAAGAUAAUCACUUGGAUCGCCUUUCUAUUCGUCUUCCAAGUAGUCUUCUGGGUUUAUAGGCUCAAUGUACUCUUCUUCUAGGUCAGGACCAUGGUUGAAAAAAUUUGGAUCUUGCUCUUCACGAUCUUGUAUUAUCUUCUUAACUUAUUUUCUAACUUCAUCAAGUGCAGAGACAACUUUGUCUAGGGUUAAGUCAAGUUCUUCGGUCUUGUCUAAAACUUUGUGUAUUCCUUCCAAACCUUGACAGUAAAGUUAUAAGACUCGUUUUUUGCUUCAUUGAGGGCAUCAACCAUGUCUUCAAGCUAGAAAUAAAGGGUUUGAAUCUCAUUUUAGCAUUGUGAAGCUCAGGAGUAUGCUUAGCUUUCUCCUCUUACAUGGUAUCAAACUCCUCGAUGAACAUGGCUGCGUCUUUAAGUGCAUGUUCCUCUAUGGACUUGACUUGGGCAGAGAGAUUGUCAAACUUCUUGUAAAACAAGGUUGACAUGCCAUCGAUUCUAUCAUGUAGAGCGGCUUUGGAACGGAUUGAACAUCGAUGAAUUGCUUGAUCGUGCCCUUUAAAAUCGUUAAUUCUAGACUUCCUUACCUAAUCUCUUUCAAAAGGUUUUGCAGAAAAGUACUUGCUUACCUGUGGAUUGAUACCCUAAGUACUACUACGCACUUGCAGAAGUCUGGAGUUUUAUGAAUUUAAAACAAGAAUUCAAGCAUCAGAAUCAACCCCUUCAUAGAUGACAUCAAGUUUUAGGUGCCGUUGCCGGGGAUGCAAUGUUUCCUCUUCAGCCAGACCCAAGAAGGCUGGAAGGUCGACUCUGGAACAUCUUUUUCUACUAAUUUUUAUUUUUGUUUUUCCGUGUUUCAGAUCUUUAAGCAAUGAAUUCGCCUAUGAACCGGGAGAAGUAAACGGGAGAAGGAAAAUUGCUUAAGAAAAUUGGUGUAGAAGCUAUGAAAAACGGGCCUUCUUUGGGGUAUGAUCAAUUCAAACAUGCUAAAGUAAAUAAAAAAAUCCUAGCUAAAACUUUUAAAACUCGAGCACGGUAAUAUGAAACUCUAAAGGAGAAACUCACCAAUGCACUACUCUUAUCUUUACCAAACUUUCUUAAAACUUUUGAGAUUGAGUGUGAUGCUUCUGGUGUAGGUAUUAGAUCUUUCUUGAUGCAGGAACAGAGGCCAAUAGCUUAUUUCAGUGAGAAGCUAGGAUGAACCACUCUGAAUUACCCGACUUAUGAGAGGGAGCUGUAUGCCUUGGUGAGAGCUUUGCAAACAUGGCAACAUUACUUGUGGUCCAUACGGAUCAUGAAUCACUUAAGCAUUUGAAAGGACAACAGAAACUCAAAAAAAAAGCAUGCUCGGUGGGUUGAAUUCAUUGAAACAUUUCCUUAUGUUAUCGAAUACAAACAAGGUAAGGAAAAUAUUGUUGCUGAUGCAUUAUCUCGAAUGUAUGUCUUGAUCUCUACUUUGGACGUCAAGUUGUUUGGUUUUGAACAACUUAAAGAAAUGUAUAAGACAGAUCCUGAGUUUGGAGAGAUCUAUAAGGCAUGUGAGAAGUUUGCUUCUGGGCAUUACUUUCGACAAGAAGAGUUCUAUGAAAAUCGUUUGUGUGUGCCUAAUUGCUCUCUUCGAGACUUAUUUGUUAGGGAAGCUCAUGGAGGAGACUUGAUAGGACAUUUUGGAGCUGCUAAGACACUGAAAGUGAUGCAAGAACACUUCUACUCGCCCCAGAUGAGGAGAGACGUGGAGAGAAUCUGUGGCAGGUGUGUCACUUGCAAACAAUCUAACUCAAAUGUCCAAACCCACGGUUUGUAUAAUACUUUACCGAUUCCUUCUCAGAGUGACAUCUUGAUGGAUUUUGUGCUUGGUUUGCCUAGAACUAGGACUGUAAAGGAUUCUAUCUUUGUUGUGGUAGAUAUGUACUGAUGAUGCAUUGCAAGUAGCAGAUUUGUUCUCUAAGGAGAUAGUUUGUUUGCAUGGAAUGCCAAGAAGAUAGUGUCAGAUAGAUAUACUAAGUUUCUAAGCUAUUUCUGGAAAACAUUGCGGUCUAAGUUAGGUACUAAGUUAUUGUUCUCAAAUACUUGUCACCCUCAAACUGAUGGACAAACAGAAAUGGUCAAUAGAACCUUGUGUACUCUCUUACGAGGAUUGAUUAAAAAGAACUUGAGAACUUGGGAGGAAUGUUUACCACAUGUCGAGUUUGCAUAUAACCAUUCAGUGCAUUACGCUUCUAAAUUUUCACCAUUUCAAAUAGUCUAUGGUUUUAAUCCGGCUUCUGCUUUGGAUCUAAUCCCUUUGCCUUUGAGUGAAAGAACAAUCAUAGAUGGGAAAAAGAAAGCUGAUCUUGUUAAGAAAAUCCAUGAGAAGGCCAGAAAGAACCUUGAGGAAACGACUAAGCUUUAUGACAAGCAAGCCACUAAAUGGAGAAAUAAGGUGACUUAUGAAGUUGGCGAUCAAGUGUGGAUUCAUUUGAGAAAAAAAAAAGAUUCCCGGCGGAAAGAAAAUCCAAGCUCAUGCCAAGAGUUUAUGGACCAUUCAAGAUAAUCAAGAAGAUCGGCGACAAUUCUUAUCAACUUGAUCUUUAAGGUAAGUAUAAUGUGAGCUCAAGUUUUAAUGUAUCUGAUUUAGUCACUUUUGUUGCAGAUAUUCCGGAUCUGAGGACAAAUCCUUUUCAAGAGGAGGAGGAUGAUAUGAUAAUGGGUAGGAACAAAGUCUUGGAGCUUGAAUCAGAGUUUGUGCCAGAGCUUGAACCAGUGGACAAAGGACUUGAAGAUGUUGAGCCACUUCAUGUGUCACAUGGACCAAUGACCCGAGCCAGAACUAAGAGAUUCAAGAAGUCAAUUGGAAUUUUACUUAGUCAUAUUGGAGAUCGACUAAAGUACUUGGGUCAGGACGGAGAAGAUGAAUUACAAGCUACCUUGAUUUUGAUUCAGGUCUAAGACUGAUCAACAAAUGGACAAGUGACCUAUUUGUGCUCAUUUUCUUUUACCUUUAUCUUUUGUCCCAAUGGAUUUUCCAAAAGAAGGUUUAUAAUGAGGCAAUGGAGUUCAAUUUCACACAAGCCCAUUUUGUUGAUCCAAAGACUUAAGGCCAGCAACAAUUUCGACCAAGAAGGUUUAGGCAGAAAAGGAGUCUAAGAGUCAUUCAAACUUUGUGUUUAAUUCUCUUUAAGUUUACCUGUUGACUAAGAUAGUUUUCUUUUCUUUCUUUAUAAGUUGAUGUAAAAUCUUUGCAGAAACCAUCUUUUAUGAUCAUUUUUAAUUAUACACUUUUAUCUUUCUUCAGAGAAACUUUGAGAAAACUUCUCUUCAGUUCCUUGUGAACAAUUCGAUUAUUUGGUGUGUGACAUCCAAUCGAUCAAUCCUUGUAUUGUCUUGGUGUGUCAUAUCCAAGGAGAUAAGUUGGUAAAUCAGAAGCUAUUCCGGAACUUCUGCGUGACCUUUUGAUCCACCUCUUUCUUCACUUGUGUAUUUUGAUUCAUUUGAAGAUCAUCUAUCCAUUUACCACCUUCUAAGUGCCGAUUCAGGGAGGAUCAUAUCAUCCCUGAACCAAAAAAAUUAUAAGUAUGAAAGUAAAAGAUAAAAACUCGAAGACAAUAUGAACAUGUUAUCAGAGUGUGUGUGAUCUCUUUCUAUAGUUGGUUAAUUGAGUUGUAUAUAAAGAGAGAUAGUUGUAAUUUGGUGAAGAAGAUAGUGGAUAGUAGGUCUCUCUAGUCGGAGACGUAGGGAUUCUUUCUCAUUUUGAGAACCUGAACUCCUUAAUUGCUUUGAGCCAUAUCUUCUUUCUGGUUUUCUUGCUCGUUUCGAUUCUGCAACUGUUUAAUUCUUCUUCUUCUUCUUGAGUGAUUUGAAGAAUUAGUGUUUGGGUAAUUGGUUUGAGCUAAACGCUAUUUGCUUGAGAGAUUAAGGAAGAUUUGCAACUUCAGGAAAUGGUUAAAGAGUAUAAAAAGGGGCCAUUAGCUAAAGAAGGUUAUACAGUGGUCGAUGAGAGACUGUGGUAUAAAAGCCGGUUAGUGAUUUUAAAAUCCUCGGAGUUUAUUUCGACGAUAUUUCAUGAGUGUCACGAUGGAGUGAUGGGAGGGCACUCAGGCGUGCUUAAAACAGUGAAGUAGAUUCAAAAAAAAUUUCAGUGGGAAGGGUUGUUCAAGUGUGUACAGAAGUAUGUAUCUGGAUGUCAAAUCUGCCAGACACACAAGUAUUCAACAUUGUCACCAGCAAAACUCUUACAACCAUUACCUUUUCGUACUAUGAUUUGGGAGGAUAUUUCUAUGGAUUCUUUGGAAGGUCUUCCGACAUCACAUGGUUACAAUGUGGUGUUGGUGGUUGUGGAUCGUUUAAGAAAAUUUGUGCACUUUAUGGGGUUAAACAUCCAUUCCAGGUCAAGAAUGUGGUGCAUAAGUUCAUCUCUAAAGUGAUUCACCUACAUGGGUUUCCGAAGUCUAUUGUAUCAGAUCGAGAUCCUUCUGGAAAGAACUUUUUCAUACGGCGGGUACCAAACUCAGAUUUAGCUCUGCCUUCCAUCCUCAAACUGACGGACAGUCAGAAGUUUUAAAUCGUUGUAUGUAUCUUCGCUGCUUUGCCUCGACACAUCCAAGGAAAUGGUUUAAUUACUUGAAUUGGGCAUGGUAUAAUACAUCAUAUCAUACAGCAUUGAAGUCGACUCCUUUUAACAUGGUAUAUGGACGUGACCCACCAAGCUUAAUUUUUAAUGAGAAAAGGCAACAGCUAACACAGGUUUGGAAGCUAUGUUAUUGGAAAGUGAUGCAAUGCUUUCAAAUAUCAAAUCACACCUGAUUCAUGUGCAGAAACUGAUGAAGAAUAACGCUGAAAAGCAUCCCAAAGAUGUGGAAUUUACAGUGGGUUCUAUGGUGUUUCUCAAGUUGAGACCUUAUCGUCAGCAAUCCAUGGUUAGGAGAGGAUGCCAAAAGUUGUCUACUAAAUAUUUUGGCCUGUUAUUGGGAAAGCAGUCUACCGCCACAAAUUACCGGAUCCGUGAUAUCGGAUCGUUACAAUGAGGACGGGCAAUUGGAGGUAUUGAUCAAGUGGCAAGGAAUGUCAGAGGAAGAUAACACAUGGGUCUUAGCCAAGUCCAUGUGAUCCAUGUUUCCUGGCUGAGCUGGAGCAGUGAAGACUCUUUAUCAUUCGGUGGUUUUGCUGUUAUGUAUAGAGGUCUAUCUUUUAGAUAAGAAAGUUUGUUGUUAGGAAGAGUCAGUCUUGGAUUUUCGAAUUUGUGAGAGAGACUGUAGUCUUGAGGUGAUACCUCGAAAGAAGGCCUCGUGUUGAGAGAUAUCAAGAUUUGUUCUGUGAGCAAUUCUGAUAUACACUGUUACGCAUAGUUUGAAGGUUGUAUACAUCAUUAACAUAUUCAAUUCAAAGAAGUUACAAGGAGAGGACAGAGUUGAGAUUGUAUCAGAGUUACAGGGUAUAUUUUAACAACUGAACUUGAGCUAAUAUACAACAAGUGAUAUCAGAGCCUUAGUUUGGAGAAUCAAUCGGGGUUCCCAAUGCUUCUCUGCGCCCUAGCCCAGAGUAGUAUUAUCAUAAUUAUAGUAUGCUCAAAUGACUAGGGCGCUACUGGACAGGGUUGAGGCUCGAACAGAAGAAUCGUCUAUAUUGAACUUGACUUCUCAUUGAACUUCGUUCGCGAAGGAAAUAGAAUUUUGACAGUCCCUUCAUAGACCUUUCCAACUCGUUAUAACUAUCUCAAAGAGACUCUCAAAUAUGAUGCCUAUAUAUAUAUAUAUAUAUAUAUAUAUAUAUACUAAGAAACGGUAUAUAGAAACAGAAAUAGUGAGGAAGGGUUAUAAGUCCCAUUGUUAUGGUAUUCGAGCCAUGCUUAUGGUUCGGGGUGAGAGAGGUAGUCAGAGGUUUAUUUUAAGUUUCUUGUGAUGUUUUAUUAAUAUUAUUGUUAGUUUUUUGGAAAAAGAACUUUAUUCUCCUGUGUGUUUUAGCCAGCUUAAAAAAGGGUUAUAAGUCCCAUUGUUACUAGACAGGAUUGUAAGGAACCAUAAAACUUUUUCUAAACAUAUUAAAAUAAGUUUAUUUAAUAGAUCAACAUCAAACAGUUCCGAGUCCGUCUUUUCUUCUAGGUUUGAUAGGAAGUAUCUUAGAAAAUCAAAAGGGGUCAUCACUAGUCAUGAAACAAUUAUAGAUGAUUUCCAAGGUUCAAUUGAUAAUGGGAAAUUCCAAAAGUUCAUAAAAAACAAAUUUAUCAAAUUUCAAAAUUAAAAUUUUCUAAGAACUAAUUACUUAAUCAAAACUGAAGAACAAGAUAUACAAGUUACAAAAUCUUUUGAAACAAUUCAUUUUUUUCUGACAAAGCUUUAAAAAGACAUAGAGAAAACGAAUUCAUAUAUAUACAUAUUGGUUUUGUUCAAGUUGGAAUUAAAGAAUGAUUAAAUAAUUCAAUUUAAGCUAUUUUACGAGAUACAAAAUUUAAAAUAUUUGAAGAUUCAUUAUUAAGCUCUAUUGAAUCAAGUUUGUGUACUGUUCCAAUUUUAUUUGAUUGUUAUCCAAAUUUUAUAGUAUCUUUAAAAGAUAAAAAUAUCUUAAAAUCUCUAGUUUUACAAGUUAAAACUCACAAUUAUGAAAUAAUCGAAGGAUCUAUUCCAAUUGCUAUAAUUUUUAGUGUUCACAUAUAAACCUUGGAACGAUAGGCAAACAGCUUGAUAGAAAAAUGAAUUCAAAUCAACCUAUCACUCCAAUAGAUUCUAUCUCUGAAAAGAAAACAAAAAAAACCCAUAUUCAAACCUUUCCAAAUUUCUAAUUCCAGUGUCAAAAUUUACCAAGAAUUCAUUUGUAUUCUCCAAAGCUAACUAAGUAAGGCAGACAUAGGAGAAAGUAACACACCUCAUGAAUCUGAUAUUCCCGAUAUUCCUACUUCUAAAGCCCAAAUAAAAACUCUAGCUAAUGAAUCCUAAUUAGUGAAUCCUCUGAGCAAAAUUCAAUCCCUGUGAUUAACUGUCUUGGUUGGGAAAAUUAUCAAGAUCGUCAUUUAAUCUCUGCCCCUGACCUAGGUCAAAUUCAGAAAAUAGAACAAUCUAGGUUCAAUUCAUCUUCAAUUUAUGAUUGGAAUAUCGAUGGCAUAUCUGAGUACCAUAUCUUAAAUUUCCUACAAAAAAUGACAAUGGCCGCAAACGCCUAUAGAACUCAAGUAGGAAAUGAGGAUAGAACCGUUGCUAAACUCCUAAUAGCUGGUUUUUCAGGCCAGCUUAAAGGAUGGUGGGAUAACUACCUAAACAAUCAGCAACGCUCAGAAAUCCUAGAUGCUGCCAAAAUGGAUGAGGAUAAUAUGCCCAUACUAGAUAAUUUUGGAAACCUCCAACAAGAUGUUGUAGCUACCUUAGUUAUAGCCAUAACCUUGUAUUUCAAAGGAGAUCCCUCAGUACUUAGAGAUAAGAACGCCGAACUCCUUUCAAACCUUAUAUGCAAAAGGCUUAGCGAUUUCCAAUGGUAAAAAACACUUUCCUUACUAGGGUUCUACUCCGCCAAGAUUCAAACCAACCAUUUUGGAAAGAAUAAUUCCUCGCAGGACUCCCAACCCUUCUAGGAGAAAAAGUUAGAAAUAAUUGAUUAUGAUGAUUUCACUUAUGGAGAGUUGAUCAGUAUUGUUCAACAAGAAGGUCUCAAGAUUUAUCAAGAUCUAAAACUCUAGAAACAUCUUAAAUGGGAACUCAAAAGAACAAAAGUAGAAUUAGGCUCUUUUUAUAGACAAUUCGAAAUUGAUCCCAGCAAAAAUAGUAAAUCUCGCAUAGGAGAUUGCAGUAAUUCUUAAUACUCUAAAAAUAAUCCUAGAAAAUACUCUAAAACCUAUAAAAACCAUAAAUGUCACAAAAAUUCCUGGCAAAGAUCUCGAAAGAGAUUUAGAAGGAAUACCAACCACUAAUCCAUUCUACAAAAAUUUCACUUGCUUCAAAUGUACUUAAAAGGUCACACUUCAAAAUUCUGCCAUUUUAACAGAAAAAUCCAAGAACUCGGCCUUGGAGAAGAACUUCGAGUGACAUAUCUAAUCUCUUACUAUAUCAUUCAUCAUCAUCGGGUAAUGAUUCUGAUUCAUCAUUAUCCUCUGAAAAAAAAACCCUACAAGUUGAUGAGCUAAAAAAACUCAUCAUCUGGCUCUGAAACUAAUGAAAAUCCAAUAAGCGUACUUACAAAAGAUCAAGAAUUUCAGAUUGAAAUCUUGAAUUCCAUUUCAAAUCCUCAGACCAAACAAAAAUUCCUAGAAACAAUCAUUUCGUCUCUGAACGAAAAAGAAAUAAAAAGCUCUGCAAAUACAUCAAAGCCUCAUAAUCCAACAUCUUCAAAAUCAUCUUAUGACCUAACCACAAUCCUUAACAAAAGAAAGAAAGUUGGUUCUAAAACAACAAUUCAAGAUCUUAUGAUGGAAAUAAAAAAAGUAAAAAAUGAUCUCAAAAUAAUUAAAGAAAAACCAAAAAAGAGAUUCUGAGUAUUUUCACUCAGUUAUAUCUUCUAUCAAGGGAAAUCAUGAUCCUAGUUCUGAUGAACAAGACAAUGAUAACCUAGAUAACAUUUAAGAUGAUCUCAAUCUCAAAGAACAAGUACAGUCUCUAGACUCUGCCCCUAAUGAUUUCCUAUGUGUUUAAAGAGAAACGACUUCCCAAAAAUAUAAAAUAAAAAUCACACUUGUUUUUCCUGAAAAUUACAAAAUUGAUAUGAUCGCUCUGUUUGAUACAUGCACUGAUCUUAAUUACAUCAAGUGUGGGUUUGUCCAAAAUGCUUAGAAACACGAGAAAAAUUAUAUGCUGCUAAUGAUUCCAAACUCCGCAUAACAUCUAAAGCAUAAGCUUCAGUUUUAAAAGGUAAUAUAUUCAUCAAAACUGCAUUCAUCUUGACAGAUGAUAUAUACCAAAAUGUUAUAUUAGGAACUCCCUUCAUAAAUUUAAUCACACCAUACAAAGUGAUGGAUAAUUCAAUUUCCUUCAAAACACAAAACAAAAAACUAUCUUUUCAAUUUCUUGAAACACCAAAAAAGCAAAGUCUAAAUUUAAUAAAAAAUUGCUCAAUACAAGAAAAUUUCUUAAAUUUUUAAUAUAAAGUAACACUUUCCAUUUGAAAAUUUAAAAUCUGAAUUUUUACUACAAAAAACAAAAAAAAAGCUUGGAUACAAAAGAAGUAAAAGGCAAAAUUUUAAAUCUAGAAAAACUUUUUAAAAAGGAAAUUUGAUCAGAUUUACCAACAGCUUUUUGGAAUCGAAAACAACACAUUGUUGAUUUGCCAUACAAGGGAAAUUUAAAUGAAAAAGAAAUUCUCACUAAAGCUCGUCCUAUACAAAUAAACUCUGAAUUAGAAAAACAUUGUAGGAAAGAAAUUUCUGACCUUUUAAACAAAUGCCUAAUUUUAAAAUCAAGAUCUCCUUGGUCAUGUGCUGCUUUUUAUGUGAAAAAAAAUUCUGAAAUUGAGAGACGCACUCUUAGGUUAGUAACUAAAUACAAACUUUUAAAUACUGCAUUAAAAUGGAUUAGAUAUUCAAUACCGAAUAAAAAAAGAUUUACUUCAAAAGCUUUUAUUCUGCCCACAUAUUUUCAAAAUUUGAUCUUAAAUCAGGAUUUUGGCAAAUUCAAAUCUCUGAAAAUAGCAUUUACAGUACCUUUUGGUCAAUACCAGUGGAAUGUAAUGCCAUUUUGUUUUGAAAAUGCACCUUCGGAAUUUCAAAGAAUCAUGAAUGAUAUAUUUUCUGACUAUUUAAAAUUUUAUAUUGUUUACGUUGAUGAUAUUUUAAUAUUUUCAAAUUCUCUUCAUGAGCAUUUUAAACAUUUGGAGAUAUUUUAUUAUGUUGCAAGAAAACAAAAGUCUAGUUUUUUCAAAAACAAAAAUGUCUUUAUUACAAUUAAGAUCAGAUUUCUAGGGCAUUACAUAUCGCAAGGUAUGAUAACAUCGAUAGAAAGGUCUUUAGAAUUUGCAAACAAAUUCCCAGAUAAGAUUUUAGAUAAAACCCAAUUACAAAGGUUCAUUGGUAGUCUUAACUAUGCAUUAGAUUUCUGUCCAAACAUUAAUAGGAUAGCAAAACUAUUACAUAAUCAUUUAAAGAAAAACCUGGUUCCUUGGACAAAAGAGCAUACUGCAUUAGUACAAAAAAUUAAAAAGCAGGUUUUUGAAAUCCCUUGUCUGCACAUAGCGGAUCCAGAUUUAAAAAAAGUUGUAGAAACAGAUGCAUCAGAUGUAGGAUAUGGUGGUAUUCUUAAGCUAAAGAACAUAAAUGGUCGAGAGAGUAUAAUACAAUUUACAUCUUCGCAUUGGAAUAAUACCCAAAGAAACUGUUCUACUAUUCUUUUUUUUUUUUUGUCAGCAGCCUAAGUACUUCCAUAGGUCACCGCCGUUCUUCUAAACACCUCUCUUCUAGUUUUAACAUCUUCUAAGGUCCCUUCAAAAAUAUUAUACAUGAAAACCAGAUCUCUAAAAUAGUUUCAAAACCUUCGAAAUUCACAAGUUAUUGUGAGGGAGUUUUCACAAAACUCACCCUCUGAAAAUUUUGAAAAAACUAUUUACCAAAACAUUAUAAAUAUUGAAAAAAAAAUUUUGGUCAGCAACGACCCGUUUUUAACAAAUAUUUUGGGAAAAACAGAUUUUUCAAACCUUAUAAUACAGAUAAAAGUGUGUUAUUAUUUCAAACGAUUUUGGAAAUAACAGAACCAGUGUCCUUUAAAUAUUUUUAUCUCAAUGAAAACCACACUUCUGCUAAUUGCACUUUCAAAAUUCAUAAGGUCUGAUAUAUUCAUAUAUUUUCAUGUUUACAAUUGCAUUUUUAUCCAAAUAUUGCGUCUCAUGCAUACAUUUAGCUAGUUUUGUUAGAGUUUUUCUUUGAUUCUAGUUUUGUUUAGGAAUUGCAUUAGGUCCCAGAGAGAGAUAACCUGAAACACUCCUCUAAGAGAUUAUUUAUUCUCUCAUAUCAUCCUUUAUUCUAGCGUCUCCCUCGCGAGUCCCUCACCUUUUAAUGAGCUUGGAAAUCUCAAAUUUGUCCUUGUAAUUUUGGCAGAAGUAAAUUAUAAGAGAAAAUUGAAAAAUCGGUCAAUCAUAAAUAAGCAGAGAUAAACCAAUCAAAAGCGGCGAAACAAAAAUUCGUCCAAUGAGAUAUAAGCAUGAGUAGCCAAUCAGAAGCGAGCUUCUCAAAUUUUAACCAAUCAGGAGCGUGUCGACAUUUUUUAGGCGCCAAAAAUUCAGCCAAUCAGAACAGGCUUUGUCUUCUUGUCGGGGACCAGGUUGAAAGAGAAACCAUUUUCGCUCGCUUCACCCCAGCGAUCGCUAGAGAACGAAUUCUCAGAACUCGAAUCCUUCUUGACAUUUUGUUGCACUCAUCCCUCAUUGAAGAUUAAUCGAGGUAAUUAACAUUUUGUUGGAUAUUCUUUUUCAUUUCGUUAUUGGAAAGUCGUUGCCCUAGAACCACGAUUAGGAUUAAAUUCGAUUAUUGAAUAGGCAAUGGUAUAAUAUGGAAAUUUUAAUUGGUUGCUAAUCGACUGGGUAUGUAUUGGAUUGGGGUUUUAGAUGCUGUAAUUGGUUGCUAAUCGACUGGGUAUGUAUUAGAUUAGAGUUUCUCCUUGAGUUGACAAUUAGAUCUAAUUAAAUGAGAGAGAUAGAGUAACAAUUGGUAUUACCUGUGUAUUUCUGGAAACAAUUGGAAACAUUUCUUAUGCAGUUGAGUAUGGUCUAUGUGUUAUUUUUUCAGGUGAUAAUGAUAACGAACCUAUUUUUUGAUUACGGGGGAUAUUAUUCAACUUCGGAGGAUAAAUAGAUUUCAGCCCCAGCGUCCAUGUAUGGUAUAAUGUUUAAGUCAUCAAGUUUGGAGGAGAUUACUUAUUCUGAUUUAGUGGAAAAGAUAUGCACGAAGAUUGGGAUUGUUGAAUCUUCAAGUAAGUUGAUACUGAGUUACAUUCCGGUACUAGUGCAAACUCAGAAACAGUUUUAUAUUUCGAAUGAUGACGACCUAGCCGUGCUCCUGACUUCACUGGAUAAAGAGGGACGCAGAAGUAUUAUUAAUGUAGAGGUCAUCAAAGGUGUUGAAGUUGGAGAGGGAUUUUCCAGAGUUGAGAGGGUAAGUUCAGUUGGUAUAAAUCAUGGGGGGUUGCAUUUAGGUAAUGGUGGAUCAAAUAAUGGUGUACUUGCUAUUUACACAGGCAACUGUUCAGCAGGACAACAACAUCACGAGAAUAUCCCAUUGAUAGAGGAAGCUGACGGUGAUGAGGGAAAAGAUGGUGAUGAUGUUACACGUGAUGGAGAAGAUGGUGAUGAUGUUACACGUGACAAUGGAAAAGAUGGUGAUGAUGUUUCCGUGAAAAUGCUGAUGUAGUAGGUGAUGAUGCUAAAGCCAAGUUUGAUAACGAAGAGGAGGAAUACAGAGGGUUUGAUUUUGAUUAUGGUCCCCCUCCUGAAGUUGUAGAAACACAACAUUUUGAAUGGGAAGAUGGUAUGAAUCUGAGAGUGGAGCAACAAUUUGCAUGUAAACAAGAUUUGAUAGAUUUAGUGUAUAGAGCUUCACAUCAAUAUUGUUUUGGUCUGACUAUAAAGAAUUCAGAUAAGAGGCGAUAUGUCAUGAAAUGUGGUGAAACAGGUUGUAAUUGGUAUUUACGAGCUUGGAAGGAUGCGAAAACACCCUGUUUUUCUAUAACAGUAUACCGGAAGAUGCAUACUUGUUCUCGGGCCAGUGCGAGUACAAACAGAAAACAAAGGAAAGGAACACCAGGAUUAGUUGCAUAUGUUGUUAAGGAGUUGUAUCCAGGGCGAUUAGAUACACCAACUCCUCACGCUGUCAUGCUUUUGGUUAAACAAAACGCUUCUGUGAGUGUGUCAUACUCCACCGCAUGGAGAGGAGUACAGCAAGCUAAAUCUCUGGUUCGUGGUUAUCCUGCAGACAACUAUAGAGAUCUGUACUCGUAUUUGUACAUGCUACAGAAGGUGAAUCCAGGAACAAAACACUAGGUGUUACUGGACGAACAAGGAAGAUUCAAGUACUUAUUUGUUUCUUUGGGAGCUUGCGUUGAGGGGUUUGAAGCUAUGAGAAAAGUGGUAGUUGUUGAUGCAACUUUUUUGAAAGCCAGAAUGGGUUGUCAGCUAGUCUUAGCUGCUUGUCUAGAUGGUAAUCGUCACCAUUAUUCGAUUGCUUUUGGAGUUAUUGAUUCAGAAAAAAAUGACAGUUGGGAGUGGUAUUUCAGGCAGUUAAAAACGGUUAUACCCGAUAAUCCUGAGUUGGUUAUUGUGUCGGACAGAAAUUUAGGCCUCAUUAACGCAGUAGCUGAGGUGUACACGGAAGCUAAACAUGGGUAUUGCACCUGGCAUCUUUCACAGAAUGUGAAAAUGCAAGUUUCAAGGGAUAGAGAAAUAGUUGCAGAUACAUUCAUGGAGUGCGCAAGGCAGUAUACAGAUGCCGAGUUUCUUGAUCAUUAUUCGAGGAUGGCAUUAAAGUAUCCUGCUGUGACUGAUUAUCUAGAAAGGCGGGUAGAAGUAUCGAAAUGGGCCAAGUGCUAUUUUCCAGCAGAGAGGUACAAUCUAGAUACUAGUAACGUUGUGGAGUCCUUGAAUAGUGUGUUUAAAGAUGCAAGGAAGCUGCCAUUAUUACCUAUGAUAGAUGCGAUUGUUGACAAGUUGUGUGAAUGGUUUAACAAGCAUAGGAACGAGGCUGCUUCAACGCCACUAGGAUGCAAACUGGUUGCCUUUGUGGAAAAUAUUUUUCACAGUAGAUGUGCUGAAUCUAAGAAGCUAGGUGUCACCGAGUUAAACAUGAUUCAGAUUGAAUACAGCGUGCUUGGAUUAGAUGGGAUUAAUUACACGGUGAGCUUGAAAAAUAAAACUUGCUCGUGCAAGCUUUUUGAUAUACACAAGUAUCCAUGUGUCCAUGCAUUAGCCGCAUUAGAAGCUUACAUGAAGCGGCCAGACAGAGAAGUGGAUAUAAACGUGGAGGACUUGUGUUCGAUGUAUUAUUUAACCGAGCAGUGGGCUUUUGCUUAUAACAGAACCAUCUAUCAUGUUCCACAUAAGUCACAGUGGGUUGUCCCCGAUGAUGUUAAGCAAUUGAGCGCUUUGCCCCCGGAUUACGAGCCAAAAAGAGGGGCAAAACAGCAGAAAAGGCAUCCAUCCGUUGGAGAGCUUCGACCGAAGUCGAAGAGGACGAAGACGAGUAAUAAGCGUCGGCCGGAAUCUUACAAAAUUUAUAGCUAUUUUACUGGAGGUGAAAACGCUGGAAGUGAAAACGCUGGAGGUGAAAAUACUGGAAGUGAAAAUGCUGGAGGAGGUGUCUCGGGUGAUAACGUGGUUUAGUUUGGAAAAUGGAGAGAUAUGUUGGGAUUGUAUUACUCGGAAAUACUUAGUACAACCAUCUUUGGAUUUAGGUUUUAUGUUGUGAUUGUAUUACUCAGAAAUACUUAGUACAACCAUAGUCAUAUUUGGAUUUAGGGUUUAUGUUGUGGUUGUAUUACGAGGAAAUACUUGAUGCGGUAAAUAUCUUCAAACGACUUCUGGUUUGAGUUAAUGCGGUCUCAAUAUCUUCAAACGACGUAUCGUUUUCCCCAAACGUGAUAAAGCGGAUUGUUAUUUAACGUGGACCCAAAGAGUUUCUGAAACACAAUCUCAUUCAUAUACAAUGGCUAGGCAAAGCGGGUUUUCUGAUUUUCCCAUAGAGAUGAAAAACAAAAUACUAAAGAAGGUAGUCAGUUCUAGCACUCGCGAUUACUAUAGGGCUUUAGUGGCAAGUAGGGGUUUAUACCAGAUCUCCAAGGAUCCAAUCUUCCUUCGGACCGUGGAUUUGCUAAGCGUGCCCACACCUUGGUUCUUUGAUAUGGCAUGGAUGAGAAUGUUCAAGGACAGAUGUUUGGUAGAAGGUAAUCCUACGGCUCUAUUUGAAAGAGGUCUUUCAAUAUUUUUCUAUGACCAUGAUAUAGAGGCAGGGAUGGCAAUGCUUAAGGCGUCAUCGGAAGCGGGAUUUUCGUUGGCAAAAUAUUGCCACCAAAUGCUUGUCCUAGCGGUUACGAAUUCAAAGAGCAAGCCCUAGAGGACCCCCGUAUGUCACUCCAGCACAGUUUGGAGAGAGGAUUACAUUGGUGGUGGACAAAAUAAAUAACUUGCAUUGUGGAAGUGGAGACAUUCAUUCAGUUAUAAUAAUGAUGGGAUAUGCAGACGUGCCCCCUGAUUGGUGCGAUUCUUGCCACUGGACAAUGGAGGCGGUAAAUUUCCAGUGGGAUAUUAGAAAUCGCUUUGUGAAAGAGUGGCCAACUUGAUCCAUCAGAGUGAAAUUUUGUUUUUGUUUUAUUUAAGUAUUACUCGUAUAACUUUGUAAAAACAAAUUAAAAGGGAGAUAAAGAAGAAAAAAACUACGUGGAUAAUGAGUAACUAGAAUAAUUAGUACAACGACGUUCAACAAAUAAUUGUUGUUCUGUCAUUUGUUGAUGAGUAUAACUACGCUCUAGUUAUACUCAUUUGUUGUUCUGUCGACCACAAAUAAUUGUGAACUGGGGUGGAGAAGCAAGAGCGAAAAAGUUGUGAAAAAGAAAAGUGAAAGUAGUACUUUUGGGUCAGAGAAUGUCAUGUAAAAGUUAAAAACACGAUGGAAUGUUCGUCGGAAAAAGAGAAAGGUGAUCAUGUGUCAGAUAGAAUAUUAUUAUAAUAAUAGAAAAUAAGAUUAAAAGAGACCCGUUUCCAGGUGACGUCGUUUUGAAGAAGUUAACCAACCCUUAACCACCAAUAGACCAAUUUAAACCGAUUUCAUAAUUUGGAGAUUGCAAAAUACGACCACGAUAAGAAUUAGUAUUUUAAAAAAAUGGUCGUUUUCAUGCUAACACUAACAGGGUUAAGUAAAGAGUGUUUUAAACUAUUAAGAAUAAUGAAGAAAUAAUACAAAUCUCACCACACCCGACACUUAAGGCAAUCUCCUUCUAUAGUGACAUUGUCAAGCUUAGUCCAUCAAUGAUGGAAAGAAUACGUAUCAUACUUUUCCUCGAAUUUUGUUUGAUGAACAAGUUGAUAAUUUGCUGUUAUAACCAAUUAUGAAACGUAUUAUCGGAAUAUAUUCAUGACAUUUCAGUAUUACUGCGAAUACGGUAUAUCCACCAAAAGUAACACUAUGUGGACGAUGUGUAUAACUAGAAAAUAAGGCACAACUACUUUAAAAUUCCCAGUUGCAAUAAACGGCAUGUGUCCAUAAUAAAAUAAAUUAUGUCAGCCACACGUGAGUUACGACAGGUGUUCUUUAGCUGAACACGUGCCUAUGUAUUAGGUAGAAUAUUAUUAAAUAAAAAAGAUUAAAUAAGACCUGUUUCCAGGUGACGUCGUUUUGAAGAAGUUAACCAACCCUUAACCACCAAUAGACCAAUUUAAACCGAUUUCAUAAUUUGGAGAUUGCAAAAUACGACCACGAUAAGAAUCAGUAUUUUUAAAAAUGGUCAUUUUCAUGCUAACACUAACAGGGACAAGUAAAGAGUGUUUUAAACUAUUAAGAAUAAUGAAGAAAUAAUACGAAUCUCACCACAACCCGACACUUAAGGCAAUCUCCUUCUAUAGUGACAUUGUCAAGCUUAGUCCAUCAAUGAUGGAAAGAAUACGUAUCAUACUUUUCCUCGAAUUUUGUUUGAUGAACAAGUUGAUAAUUUGCUGUUAUAACCAAUUAUGAAAUGUAUUACCGGAAUAUAUUCAUGACAUUUCAGUAUUACUGUGAAUACGGUAUAUCCACCAAAAGUAACACUAUGUGGACGAUGUGUAUACCUGGAAAACAAAGUACAAUUACGUUUCAAAAUUCCCAGUUGCAAUAAACGAGACAUGUGUUUUCAUUUGAACACGUGUCUUACUGGGUAACAAAUAGACCCCACUACAAUUAUUUAUUAUUUCCUGGGUUUAUCCACGAAACUCAAAUUUGUUUUCUCCGCCCCCAAAACCUCAAACAUUUCCAAUUUUGAGUUCCCCCCCCCCCAAAUAGACAUUUCCAAAUUUGAGUUUCCCCCCCAAACAUCAAAAUUCAUUAAAAUAUAUGGGUUUACGCACAAAUCACAACCAAAACACAAAACACUCCCUUGUUUGCAAAACAACAUUUUGUUGCAAGAAUGCCAAGUCUCGGCUCGUCGUCCGACUCGGACAUUUCAAGCGGGAGCCCUGAACCCGAAUUGUACGAAGAUUCUCGAAUCCCGCGAUUCUGUUAUUGUCAUCGUAAACCAAUCAUCAAAACUUGCCACACCGUUUUGGAUCCGGGAAAAAGAUUCUUCGCUUGCAAUAAGGAAUACGUAAGUUCAGCUGUUGAUUGCUUUUCAUUUCGUACCAAAAAUAUUUAUACGGUUUGUGUCUUGUAGAAUCCCGGAUGUCAUCUCUUCAAGUGGUGUGAUGAGGCGAUGCUAGAAGAGAUUGCAGAUGUUCGACAUGAUUUGACCGAGAUGCAGAGCCGGAGUGGUUGGACUAGAACCAUGAACCGGAUUCACUCGACGAAAAUUUCCCAGCUACAUGAAUCGGUAAUCAACCUGAAGGAGGAAAUGGUUGAGGCAAGGAGGUCUCAUGCUCUCCUUUAUGAGAUGGUUUGUGACUUGGUUUUGAAGGAAAUGGAUAGGGAAUUGGAACAGACGCGACAAACUAAGAUAUUUAAGGAAGUUAAGGACAUGGUUGUUCUAUCUGUUCUUGUUGUGGCCUCUGUUUCUUUAACUAUCUACCUGUUCAAGUAGUUACGAUUCAUGGUUGUACUCAAGACUUACUCAAUUUUCCAAAAACAUGUGGUUACACCAAGUGAUACAUAUUUUUGAUUUUCGGGAUUACAUGAUGAUACCAAGUAUUACGUAUUUUCGAUUAUCCGAUAACAUGUGGUUACACCAAGUAAUACCGAGUAUUACAAAUUCUCAAUUAUCCCAAAAACAUGUGGUUACACCAAGUAAUACCGAGUAUUACAUAUUUUCGAUUAUCCGAUAACAUGUGGUUACACUACAAAUUCUCAAAUAUCCCAAAAACAUGUGGUUACACCAAGUAAUACCGAGUAUUACAAAUUCUCAAAUAUCCCAAAAACAUGUGGUUACACCAAGUGAUACCGAGUAUUACAAAUUUUCAAUUAUCCCAAAAACAUGUGGUUACACCAAGUGAUACCGAGUAUUACAAAUUUUCAAUUAUCCCAAAAACAUAUGGUUACACCAAGUGAUAUCGAGUAUUACAAAUUUUCAAUUAUACCGAGUAUUAGGGUUUCCUUAUUAAGGAUUCCUUAUGUAUCGACUGAGAUAAUAUAGUUGAUAGAAUAACACAAGGAAUUUUACUAAUAAUUUUUUUGUUAAUAAAUAUAUUACAGUCAUAAAUUUUAAAUAAUAAAUAUUUUACAACGGAAUAUAUUUAAACAUAAAAUUCAUUAUUUUAUUGUGAAAAACACCAUGAAUUAAUGGGAAUUAAUUCAUGGCGUGUUACUCGGUCAUCAGGCGAGCCUCCUUCUUGAACCGUUCCGGUUCCAAGACGCACCUGCGUGCAACGUCUGCGAGGUAGUUGUCCUCUUCCUCGACCUUAGGGUGAAGCAGCAUGUCAUGGAGCGCUUGGAGGAGUUCCUUGACUGUCGUUCCAACCUUCCACGUAGCGGUGACGAGUAGCGGAUGGAAGACGCGGGGUUGGUCGAUGUUGGGGUGCAGAAUCGGCGUCUUCCACAACACCAUUGGUGGCUUGAAGGGGUAAUCCGGUGGAAAACGGAUGGAGAUGAAGAAGAUGCCCCCAAUAAACCAGAAAGAAAGAGAGUGAGUUAUAUUUAUGGAAAGAAAAAGGCAAAACCCGAGGGUGCGACUCAUAUAAUAAAUAUCCUUCAUAACCGUUUAGCAUUAUUGUGCAGAGCAGUUAAAAGUCACAUCUCCUUUCUCUCCCCUAAUAAACCGGAAAAUAUUUAUUUACUUAAUGUAAAAAUCAAAUAAAGUGUUGGUAGUUGUACCAGUCUUACGCCAGUUAAUGAAAGCAUUAACAGCCGUAAGACUGGUACAACUAGAUCAAUAAACGCGUGUCGUUCCCUCUUUCAUUUUCUGUCCAUACAACACGUCUAUACAAUAAAUAAAUCCUCUCACGUGAGUAAAUGCUGAGUAAACAAAUAUCAUCCAGGGAACAUUGUCUAUACACUAAACAUAUUAGUAGUCUUCCCCACAAAACUAGAAAUUCGAAAAAACUGAAUAGUAUUGCCCACUCUAUAAAAAGACACUUGAGAUAUUGUAGUUCUAGAAUUCUUCAAGUCGUCAACAAAAUGGAGAAAUCAGAUGGAAAAAAAUAUGAUGAGAAUGGUCUGCUGAUCAUCAACCCACCACCUUUGAACAUGAGAUUUGGUGUGGUGGAACCUAAGUCGCCACCUUCGCCAACUGAUUCUGAGAUCGAGCAAGCAGAGCUGUGGGAACAAUUCAAGCAAAAUCUGCCAAAGGUAAUAUAUUCUCUCUGUUUAAAGGUUUAUAAAUAUGUCCUGAUCAUGAGUGAUAAUUUAUAUCUAUUUUUUUGUUGAGGAGAAGGACAAAGACAUCUCAGUCCAUAAACCUCCCCACAAACGUUGUACAAAACCGGAACACGAAUUGAUUCUGGAUCUGGAGAUAUGAUUGAAGUGCAUGCAUUGCGGAUUCGUGGAGAGAGAAAUCCGAAACAUGGACACAUCCGAAUGGGUAAGUAAUUAGUCAUUUGUUUUGGUCAUGACAAAUAUAAAAUAAGUUCAAAUCUAUAUGACUGGAAAAUAAUCAGUUGAUGUUGUUUGGUUUUUUAAAUUUUAAUUGUAGACAAAACUCAUUAUUAAGUAAUAAUACUGAAUACAAAUUUAAGCUAUAUGAUUUUUAAACAUAAAUGAGAUUUUCUACGUUUCUGUUCAAAGGGAGAGAUGAAGAAUAUAAAGAGGAAGAGGUCUGGAAUGGCAUCGAAAUUCAAAUGAAGCCUAUUUUUUUUUUUUUUUAACAAUUCAUAUAUGUAAUCUCCUAUUGUUUUCCUCAGAACCUUGAUAUUUAUGGUAAUUUGUUAAUUUAUCUUCGGAGAAAUUAUUUAUGUUUUGGUUCAAUUAAUUUCAUUAUAAAUUAAUAACUCUCUCUAAAAUAUAAGACUCCCAAUGUAUAUUUUCAAUAACGCAUUUACGAGAGUAGCAGUUAUUCCGAUAUUCCUCUCUCUCUCUCUCUCAUACGGACGCGUUUAUUCGACGUGACUACUGAGAAACUACUCACAUCCUUUCACUUCCUCCAUUUUCUUUUUCUCUAUUUAAUUUCGCAAAGGAGUUCCAAAAUCCAUUCUAGUUCUUCAUUACUUUCCCAAAUCCAUCACUCUUUCCUUCCUCCUCUCUCUUAGGGUUCCUCUCAGAUUUUCCUUUUAUAUUACAAUCCAUCAAUUUCUCUUAGGGUUUCAGAACUUUUCUCCACAAAACUCGGCCUCCACCACUUUCAUAUAUAAAUCCAUGGCAGAGUACUCCUACCUACUAGUCCUACCAGAUGAACCACUGGAAAAGGUUCUAGCGAAGUCAGCUAACACAAUUGGUGACCUUAUACGGAUUCGCUAGAUUUGUCAUAGGUUCAACGACUGCACCAGAGGCCCUGGCUUCUACGCUGAAGUUGAUCCCUUUAAUAUGGGGCAUCCAGAGGAUGAAGAUGUCCAUCUCAUCAUCGAUGUCUUCAGAGAGUUCUAUGAUGCACGAAAUCCAGGCAUGAUUUUCAUGCGAGGUAUGCAACUCUUUUUUCAUCGAAAAGAUUUUGGAGGGAUUCUACUGAUCAAGGAAGCGGCGGAUAGAGGGUACACGCGUGCAGUAUAUGCCUACGGGAUGUUCAUGAAACUUGUUAUGGAACAUCCGGAGGGUGAUGAGUACCUCAACAAACAAAGCCGGAAAACAAUAAGGAAGUGCACCGGCGACCUCGUUGCACAAGUAUAUCUUGGUUGGCCAAUGAGUUUGCCAGAGAUAUUCAAUGAAGGCCACCGUCGCUUUUUACCGCGCCUCAAUACUCUUAUCCACUGUCCGUGCGGUACAGUUAACCGAUUGGAGCGUUGGUGGAAUGAUGAGUAUAAACCAGGGAACAUCUGCGACUACUGCUUUUUAACUCGCGAAUGCGGAAGGUUCUUCCUAUAUGUGUACCGGGUAGUUUGAGUUUUUCCUGAUAUGCGAGACUGGUGAAUAUGUCUGAUGUUUUCUGUCUUAUGUUUUUUGUUUUUUGUACUUUCUUAUGUUCUGGAUUCCGUAUGUGCACAUUUCGUUAUGUUUAGUACUCCCUUAUGUUGUCCUUAUGUUGUCUACAAACAUUAUUCUACUAAUUUUAACUCGAACUGUUUAGGCCUAGUAUUCAACAUAUAUAAGUGGUUACACCAAAUAAUACUAAGAUGGUUACACCUAAUAAUACUAGGUUACACCAAAUAAUACUAAAAUGGUUACACCUAAUAAUACUAAAAUUCCCAGCUUUAUAUGUGGUUUCACCAAUAAUACCAAGUUUUCCCAAUAUUUGGUUUUCAAUAAUCCAAAAUCAAUAAUAGAAAUAAAAGUACAUAUUUCAAAUGUCAUAGGAGAUUUAACGUCUCUGCUUUGUGUUUGGCCUUAGCUUCGAUUGCUCUUGUCACCCACUUCUGCGUUCACACCGUCUGGUUCUACCUACACAUACCAAGUAAUACAACAUAGUGUUACCACGAAAUAUAAAGUAUUACCAAAAAACAAUGGAUAUUACUCUUCAAACUUCAAUACCUCUUUACUUCUCAGCAGGUAAGGAGAUCGGGCUACAAGCUGUUCCGCCUCUUUCAGCUCCGCCUCAUUCAUAUCCGGCUCUUUCUGCUCCGACUCUUUCUGCUUUGGCUCUUUCUGCUCCGGCUCUUUCUGCUCCGCCUCCUUCUGCUCCGCCUCCUUCUGCUCCGCUUCCUUCUGCUCCGCUUCCUUCUGCUCCGCUUCCUUCUGCUCCGGCUCCUUUUGCUUCUUUUUCGGCUUCUGCUUCAGCUGUUUCUUCUUCGACUGUUUCUUCUUCACCAGACUUUCAAGUUUCUCUCCAGCUUGAUCAUGUUCAUGUUCUACAUCAUUUCGAAAAACUUCUCCUCCCUCAUCUCCUGGUCCUUCCCUUUCUCUUCUUGUCUCUUUUACAUAUUGUUCUACAAAGCAGAGUCUUGUAUCAAAGCCAUCCAUUCGGGCACUGAUUCAGAGAAACUGAGCGUCCAUACUCUUCUGCAAGCUCCGAAGCUGUUCCACAAUUCCAAGAGGCGCCUCCUUCUCCGUCCCCACAAAAUGCUUAGCCGCUACAGGAUGGUUUACCCACUCCUUAUUAUCUCGGGCAUCAACAUCGAUCUUGCAUAUCUCUAUCCAGAAUAUCGGCUUCUUUUCCUCAACUAAACGCCUCGUCCAAUUUUCAGGAACGAUAUCACCGAUAUCUUCCUCUUCAUUCCUCUCCAUGACUCCCGCAAGCAUAAUUACCUCAUCCUCGGAUGGUUGCAAUAUACUCUUGAUGACCCUAGUGUUACCCAGCGUUUCAUAGAGUUCCGACAAAGGGAAACCUUUUAGUGUGAAUGGUUGGAAAUUCUGCCUGCACAUCCGGGGACAACCCCUCCCUGCUCCUCUAACAUCUUCUCUGUAUUUGUUCUUCAGACAUGGGAUGGUCUCAAAGGCUAGCAACUACACAUAAACCCAACAAAUUACACUUACGCUCAUAGUAUUACAUAGUUACAAAUUCUUUAUAAUGUGACAUACCUCCAAGGGAGUAACAAAGCUUGGAAAUGUCCAUGCAUCUGUUCCGACGACCCCAUUGAAGUGCCUCAUUGUGUGCUCAAUCUCCUUCAUAUUUACAUCGAAUGAAUAUCUACCCCAAGGAAACCUUUUACAAGCCUCGAGAUCAUCCACAAUCCUCAGGAAUAAAGGGUCAACAGAUGGUGCUCCCUUACCGGUUUUCGUUUUCCCACUAAUUAUAGAGGAUAAGAAGUAGACGACACACAUCUUCAACCGAUCAGGAUUAACUAGUCCUCGCAUCGACUCUAGCUUUUUCUCAACAGCAGCAAGGGAGGGGACGGUUUCCUGGAAAUAUCUAUUCUUAAACGAAGAACUUCCUAUGCUCUCAUAGUCCUCUGGGUACGGGAGACAGUUUAAUCCUCACAAAAUGGCAUGCUCUCUAAGGGAAUAGAAAAUUGGUACGCCAUUCACCACAAACCAAGCUUCCCUAUUCUUAUUUGUGUUUGCUGUCCGAAGAAGAAGCAACCACAUUUCCAUCAUCUUGUGUGUUGUGUCCUCAUGCAUGGCCCUAUGCAUAUGCCAAAAGUGCUUGAACUGUGGGUGUUUUGUAAACCAUAACAGCUCAUGUGGUUCAAGGUCUAGGGACUCCAAUUUAGCAACAGCUUUGUGGAUAUAACAUCUUGUUCCCAGCUUUAUUGAAUUAUGAUACUGACUCGGCUCGAAUAACAUUCUCACGGGUGGCAAUGGCUGAUUCUCCUCCUCCUCAGCCUCAGCCUCAGUUCCCCCUCCACAACACUAUUCUCCUCCUUCAACCAUUUUCUCCUGCGACGAUUCGGAAUCUGAGUAAAGUUCUGGUCUAGCAUAUCUAAACACUCUUUCUUUGCCUAAAUCCAUGACUCCUAUUUUGUAAUUGCCAACCGAAUAGAGAACAUAUAAAUCGAUUUUUGGAUUCUACACAAAACCGACUUGAAAUCUACAAAGUAAUCUAGAUAGAAAUUAGAAAUCAAAGGACGAAGACGAACGAACCUGAUAUAGCGAGGCGUUGAUUUAAGUCAGGCAGCAGCAAAUCACUCGUAGUUGUCCCAGAGAAUACUAGGCGAAGACGACGACGAGAGGACGAUUUUGAAAUUAAAAUUUUUUUUUUUCUCAGACUUACCACAAUUUUGUCUCCAAAUUUUGACCCUAAACCCGAUUUCUUCGGAUUCAACCCGAUAUGACAGACUGAGUGUGGAUCUUCGUGGUUGGGUUAGUAAAUAUGAAACUUUAGUAAGGAUCUGCCAGUAUUUGACCGUUUUUUUCCCUUUUUCUUGCUUUAAAAUAAAUCGAAAACAAAUUAAAUAUUAUGAGGAGGAGAUUUGAGAAUUUCUAUAAUGCGGGAGGAGUACGCGAGAUUAUCUCUCGGUCCCAGAGUGUCUUGCAUUUUUGGAGUGUUCUCAGGUCAUUUGGAGACUUUUGCGAGCAAUUUGGAGCUGGAAUCAUGGAGGAAACCUCACCAGUGUGUAGCAACUUGGACAAGUGCUUUGGAGCUAACAAUAUCUCUACAAGAUCGCCUGAGACGGAGGACCUGGACUGCAAUUCAGCCUCAUGAGUCUAGUUUCCAGAACACUUAGAAUCCGACGAUCUGGGAGAUAACGCAAUCAGAAGGAAUACAUGUCUCGCAAGCAGAUCAGAACUUAUGCAAUGCACCUCAAGUCCGGCAAGACAGAAGCCUUGCCGACGUCAUACUGGCUCGAGCCCUUCACCAAAGUUGGAGCUGAAUACGUCAUCUGGUUCAUAGAUUUGGAAGAUCAAGAUUUGGACCAGCGAGCUGGGAAUUAUGAAGGAGUUGGUGUACGCGGUUUGCAUUCAUACCGAGAAGAAAUACCGACCAUAAUUUGGUCGUUAUGACCUUGAUCCCUUGACGGUUUUGCUUGGAUUUUGGGAGCUCAGAUCCGAAGAAAUGUCGAGAUUCUGCACCAACCCAAUUCUGCUUGGUAUUGAUCCCCUGAAGCUAUUCUUUGUGCCACACCGAGGUGCUACACCGGGAGAAACUUGGUCGGUAUUGGCUUUUAAGAAUUUCUUCACACCACACCGAGGUCCUGCACCAGGCAAAUGUAUCUCGAUAUGACCUUGGUCCAGCACGUCUUUUAGGGCCUUUUUGGGCCAAUACCUAGUUUGUUCUAGGUUGUCCCAUCAAGAUAAUCCUACAUAUAUAUAUAUAUAUAUGGAAAUAUCUGUUAUAGCUAACCUUUAUUCUCUUAGUUUCUUUGCCUCUUUGGGUGAAAACCUUUGUUCUUUGUUAAGAGAUACCUCGUUUUUGAUCAAUUCAGAGUUGUUUCUUAUCAUCUUUUCUUCUUAUCUUUGCUUCUAAUCAUGUUUAACAUCACCUCUUGCAAAAGAUUAGAUAUGUUAAGCUGAUAACACCGUAUUUUGACCACUUUUAUGGAUCGUUUUGAAAUACUUUUUCUAUGUUUUUAAUUAGUUUUAAGUAAUUUAUCACGUUUUUCUAGUAUUUGUAGUUCCAAGACUCUUUUCAGGUAACUUAAGAAAAAACUUAACAAAAUGGAUAGAAAACCAGAUUUCAGCUCAGAGUCAAACCGUUAGACGUUCACCCCUAAUUGAAGGCCUUCUCACCGUCUGAUCCAGCUCAAAUUUGGAGACCUUAAAGAUGGAAGUAUCAGCUUUCCAGCACACUUUACAGCUUGGCAAUCCAACGGUUCAAUCAAAAGAUACGAGAAGAGCAAGAUGUCCCGUAAACCAGCCGGCAAGCAACUCCACCCGCGGCCAACAGGCCAUUUCCCGCGGUCAGAAGCAUCCCGACCGCGGCAAACCACUCAUUCCCCGCGGUCACAGCACUCCCGACCGCGGCAAGACAAUUCCAAGCCCAAAAGCCCAUUUUUGAAGCCCACAAUGAUUCCCUCAUUUGGAGAAACCCUAAGUGACGUCCAGAGAGGUCUUGAGCACUAUAAAUACAUGUCUUAGGAACCCUAAUCGGGGGGAUGCUAUCUUUCUUAUUGUUUUAGAAUACUUUUAAGUUUUAGGUUUUAGGGAGAGAGAGAUUUGUCUCUUGAACCCUUGUUCUUUCUUUUUUGAAUUUCGGUUUCUAUUCUACUUAUUAAUACUAUGUUUUUGAUUUCGUUCAUUAUGUCUGAGUAGUUCUAUUGUUGGGAUUAAGGGAUUUUCGAUGGGGAUUUAUAUUUUCGAUGAGGAUUCCAUGAGCUUUUGAGCCGAAUCUUAGAACUUUUUCUUCUGAAUUCGUUUUUACUGCAUAAGAGUAGCGUCAUGAAUUACAAUCUGAUCUAGAUGCUUGGUGACACGAAAGUGUUCAUCAGGUAUCAGAUCUAGUUUGGGAGAGCAAAACAAACAUAGGAGUGGAAACCUACCUAUGGGCGAUUUGUGAAUGCUGACGAGUCUUAAACAUAAUGCAUUUCUUCUCUUCCAGGGUCAGAGUGGAAACCUACUGGUCAGGGUUGAGAGAGAUAGUUGUCUAUGAUCACGACAGUGGCGUAUUCAUACGUCCGUGACUCCAGUUCGAAAAGUUUAAGCUAAGAUCUUAUCAAUUUACUCUCUAGCAAUGUUUUGAAUCGUUUGUACCCCUGAGAAAACUUCCCUGAACCCCAACGCCUUCUUUCCUAUUGAUUUACACCGUUUUUAUUUCAAGCUUUAGUUCAAUAUUGUCUUUCCUUUUUAGUAGAUUUUCAUUUAAGCAAUUAGAAUAUCCGUUUUACUCGUUUUUAUUCAUUUUUGUUAAGUUUAGUUAUUAGGUUAUUUAAUUCCCGUACUUUCUUUUAAGAUUUCGUUUUUUACAUUUUAAACACACUACCAAACCCCCACAAAACCGUUUUGGUGCUAGACUUCCUUACUUUAUACUUAUUUCAAAGGCUUUUUGCAGGAAAAGAUCCUCCUUCCCUGUGGAUUCGAUCCCUAAGUACUACAAUCGAUCAGCUGUGCACUUGCGGCUAUUGAUUUCAUUUAGCUGUAAAACUUGACAAUCCUCACUCACCACCACAUCAUAAGCAUGAUUAGUGAGUAGUCUUCUUUUAAGCUUCUAGGUGUGUAGAUUAGGGUGCUUAGAUGAUGUUUAGGUUCUAGAUUCUCAUUUCCUUUCCUUAGUUAGCUGCUCUUAAUGCCAGAUUUCCUUGAGAAAGUGAAAUCUGGGUUCAUAGGCAUUUCUCCACCCACAAGGUGUUUGAUGAAAUGCCUGAAUGAGCUAACUUAAGGGUUUAUGUUUUGAAUAAGCAUAAAUGACAUGUUAGAACUGUUUAUUAAUGUAUAGUGAUCAUCAUUACACUAAUGAUUAUUGGAUAUGAAUGCUGAUUUAAUUUUGUGAUGAUUGUCUUGAGAAAGAAAUGAUCUUGCUUUGAGUUCUAAGUUAAUUGGAUUAGAGAUCAUGUGAUGCUUGCUAUAUCUUUCUGUAUAAGAUUCAGUCUAUCUUAGCUCUUAUUUUAAUGCACAAAGAGGCUGUUUGGUCAUAUUAGGCUUAGAAUUUUAUGCUUGUUAAUUGUUUAUUCACUAAUAGGAAUUAGUCUUGAUUAGGUAAUUACCAAAAGGAUUAUUGUCAUGAGAGUGAAUCAAUCUGAUUUAUAAGUCUAGACUAAAGAAUUGCUAGUGUUGCAUUAUUUGCUUAGCAUCAUGAAUUAACAUUUAAAGCAUCCUGAUCAAUGAUGACAUGUAGAGGUUUAGCUUUCUCUUUAUUUGAAUUUGAGUCUUUGUUUAGUUUCUCUUGUUUGCUUUGACUUAAUUACUGCUUGUGUCUUGUUUUGUUAUAUGCUUUUAGAUAAUCUUUGUUACCAAAACAUCUGCUUAUUAGACUUGGAUUAAGAUAGUUCCAUCAUAGUCUUGGUGUCUAGAAUCUCUCCAUUUGGAUUGACCCUCAAGUGCUACAACACAAGAGGUUAAUUGACUUUAGGAAGCUAAAAACCUACUAUCAAUUUGGCGCCGUUGCCAAUUGGAGAGUUUAUUCUAGCAUUAGACUUUGGAUCUUCUUGAGAUCAAGUCAUUUUUAUUUUGUUUUACUGAUCUCCUUGAAAGUUCUGUCUUUCUUUUAGGUGCAUGCAAACUAGAAGUCAAGCAAGAAGAGAAAGAGAAAGGGCUGUGCACAUCGAGAGAUUGGGUAUGGAUAAAGGGCAACAGGCUCAUGGUGGUAAUGAAAACCACCAGAAUCAGCAAGAGCCUCCACCACCACGUCCAAGACAAGUUGUAGGAGCUGGUGAUGAGGCCAAUGCUCAGGGUCAGAGACAUGGGAUUCAAGCUCCUACACCUGAAAACGAUUUUGAGAUCAAGUCUGGCUUGAUCAACAUGG
This 34005-nucleotide long non-coding RNA is filed under the name Eutrema salsugineum. RNAcentral's name for it is "long non-coding RNA (ESAL_LNC000701)". Lineage: Eukaryota; Viridiplantae; Streptophyta; Magnoliopsida; Brassicales; Brassicaceae. The record is from RNAcentral.